CCUACGGGGGGCUGCAGUGGGGAAUAUUGGACAAUGGGGGCAACCCUGAUCCAGCCAUGCCGCGUGUGUGAAGAAGGCCCUCGGGUUGUAAAGCACUUUCAGUGAGGAAGAACGCCUGGUGGUUAAUACCCAUCAGGAAAGACAUCACUCACAGAAGAAGCACCGGCUAACUCCGUGCCAGCAGCCGCGGUAAUACGGAGGGUGCGAGCGUUAAUCGGAAUUACUGAGCGUAAAGCGCGCGUAGGUGGCUUGAUAAGCCGGUUGUGAAAGCCCCGGGCUCAACCUGGGAACGGCAUCCGGAACUGUCAAGCUAGAGUGCAGGAGAGGAAGGUAGAAUUCCCGGUGUAGCGGUGAAAUGCGUAGAGAUCGGGAGGAAUACCAGUGGCGAAGGCGGCCUUCUGGACUGACACUGACACUGAGGUGCGAAAGCGUGGGUAGCAAACAGGAUUAGAUACCCCGGUAGUC
This 465-nucleotide ribosomal RNA is filed under the name Vreelandella stevensii. RNAcentral's name for it is "partial 16S ribosomal RNA". It matches the Rfam family "Bacterial small subunit ribosomal RNA", at positions 338 to 795 of the family's 1533-position model. The record is from RNAcentral. Lineage: Bacteria; Pseudomonadati; Pseudomonadota; Gammaproteobacteria; Oceanospirillales; Halomonadaceae.